Molecule: long non-coding RNA, 2925 nt
Organism: Octopus sinensis (East Asian common octopus)
Lineage: Eukaryota; Metazoa; Mollusca; Cephalopoda; Octopoda; Octopodidae
Exons: 3
Source: RefSeq, a predicted model, not a curated record
CAGCAUUGGUUGUCAAGCGAUGUUGGGGUGACAAACAGACACACAAACAUAUACAUACAAACAUACAUAUAUACGACAGGCUUCUUUUCAGUUUCCGUCUACCAAAUCCACUCACAAGGCUUUGCAGUUUGUUUUGAGAUACACGUGUCUUAAUUGUUGAAUUAAUUUGUUUUUGAAAAUGGCUAGUCUAGGUGAGUUGUUUUAUACAAUGAAAACUGAGGAAGAUGCUGAAUCUUUCUUGGCAGAAAAGGGUAUUAUACCCAAUAGUAAGAAAGGGCACCGAAUGAAAAAGAAAUUGGUUGGGAAGAAUGUUUGCUGGCGGUGUAGUCGCAAAGGUUGCUGUGAGAGGGUGUCUGUCCGAAAGGGGACAUGGCUAGAUGGUAGCACUCUUCCUCUGCGGACUGUAGUCCUUUUUUUGUACUCUUGAGCCAAGGAACUGGCUACAGUGCGUUAUUGUGUAGAACUGGGGAUGAGCCACGGUUCAGCUGUAGAUUACAACAAUUACGUGCGAGAAAUAUGCGCACAUGACUUGCUAAUGAACCCAGUUGUAAUAGGUGGUCCUGGGAAGAUUGUCCAGAUAGACGAGACAGUCUUCUCUAGGAGGAAGUUUAAUCGAGUAAGGGUGCUACCUCAGCAUUGGGUAUUCGGAGGAGUGUUCCGUGAGACCAGAGAAGUUUUCCUUUAUGCACUACCUUGACGGAAUCGCGACACACUCGAAGAAUACAUCCGCCGCUCAAUCCUCCCAGGUACCACAAUAUUUAGUGACCUGUGGAGGGCUUAUUCACAUAUUCCAGAGAUCGAGGGAUACAAUUUUCGACAUAGAAGGGAAAGAGGAAAAAGAAAGAACUGUGUAGAAAAGAAAGAAAGACUUUAAUGCGAACAUUAUUUGUUUUGAUUCGACGUGAACUGUUUAAAUGCUUUGAUUUUGUUGUUUUCUUGUUAAUUCUGUUGCAUGUUACUUUCUUUAAUGUAUCUGCUAUGUAUCACAUUGUAUUUAAUGUCGUAAUUGUUAUAAACUGUUUUUAAAUGUAAGCCAAUUGCCUUCCGCCGUGUCUCUGUAUCUCUUCCUGUUGUUGUUGUUCUCGCCGGUUGCCGAGUUCGCUGCCCCCCACACACACACACACACCGGGCCCUCUCUUUCCGUGGCGAAUUCCCCGAUCGACUGGGCCGGUGCAAUCGUCGUCGUUCGACUUGGUAGGGUCCCGGGUUUUAGUUGAGCGAUGGCAGGUGGUACGUAACAAUACCCAAUAGCAAGAACUGUAAGAAAGGGCACCGAAUGAAAAAGAAUGUUUGCUGGCGGUGUAGUCGCAAAGGUUGCUGUGAGAGGAUGUCUGUCCGAAAGGGAACAUGGCUAGAAGGUAGCACACUUCCUCUGCGGACUGUAGUCCUUUUUUUGUACUCUUGGGUCAAGGAACUGGCUACAGUGCGUUAUAGUGUAGAACUGGAGAUGAGCCACAGUGCAGCUGUAGAUUAUAACAAUUAUGUGUGAGAAGUAUGCGCACAUGACUUGCUCAUGAAUCCAGUUGUAAUAGGUGGUCCUGGGAAGAUUGUCGAGAUAGAUGAGACAGUCUUCUCUAGGAGGAAGUUUAAUCGAAGAAGGGUGUUACCUCAGCAAUGGGUAUUCGGAGAAGUGUUCCGCGAGACCAGAGAAGUUUUCCUUUAUACAGUACCUUGACGGAAUCGCGGCACACUCGAAGAAUGCGUCUGCCGCUCGAUCCUCCCAGGUACCACAAUAUUUAGUGACCUGUGGAGGGCUUAUUCACAUAUUCCAGAGAUCGAGGGAUACAAUUUUCGACAUAGAACGGUGAGCCACAGCAUCGAGUUUGUGAACUCCGUUGAUACCCAACAAAUAGAGAGUACGUGGACCUGUGUGAAACGGGGUAAUAAUCGACAUUGUGGUACACACCGAUUGACUUGUAUCUCUGCGAAUUCAUGUGGCGGCGCAGACACGAAAAAAGUGACCUUUGGGAGAAAUUGCCGGCAAGCAUUAGGAAUUUCUGACCAAAAUACACCCCUCAGAAGUUUCAAUUGAAUUGUAAAAUAUUCAUGAACAAGUCCUGUGCGCAUACUUCUCACACAUAACUGUUAUAGGCCACAGCUGCAUUGUGGCUCAUCCCACGAUUAUGGGUAAUUUGUUUUUGAAAAUGGCUAGUCUAGGCGAGUUGUUUGAUACAAUGAAAACGGAGGAGGAUGCUGAAUCUUUCUUGGCAGAAAAGGGUAUUAUACCCAAUAGUAAGAAAGGGCACCGAAUGAAAAAGAAAUUGGUAGAGAUGUUUUUUUUUUUUGUUCAGCUUCUUUACAUUCUGCGUAACAGUUUGUUUCCGCAGUGAUUGCUUCAAAUAAGCAUGCUGAAAAAAAAUUGUUGAUAAAAACAUUUUUUUAAAGUUUUUACAACAUCAUGGUGUAAAUCAUCAUGUUGCCUCUUUCAGUUUCUUCAGAAUCGCUGCUUUCGGUUUCGGAUACAGAAAUAUCCGAUUCAUUUUCGUUCACCAUGUGCUUUUGUAUGUAUCCCUUUCAUUCUUUUAAAUAUAUUUGUGUAGGAAUUGCCAAUUUCUUCUUCAUGCCCUUACUUACAAUUCUUAGUGCAGGGUUUUUUUUUUCCUUUUUAUUUUUUCUAUGCUACUCUGCCUGUACUGCUUACUGGGGUCAAUCUAAUCGACCCCCCCCCCUCCAAAAUUUCGGAACUUCUCCCUAGACGACCAAUAAAAAAAAAGAGAAAGAAAUUAAAAAUCAAGUAUCCAUUGCUUACUGGGGUCAAUCUAAUCGACUGCCCCCCCCCCUACCUCCUCCAAAAUUUCGGAACUUCUCCCUAGACUACCAAAAAAAAAAAAAAAUUAAAAAUUGAUUCAAUCACUGUUUGUAUCUUUCAAUGAAACUUGCUUUGAAAUUUGUUGCACACCUGCUUGUAAUGAAAUAUCUUGCUUG